RNAcentral lists this ribosomal RNA (1094 nucleotides) under Salmonella enterica. RNAcentral describes it as "partial 23S ribosomal RNA". It matches the Rfam family "Bacterial large subunit ribosomal RNA", at positions 1 to 1034 of the family's 2925-position model. Lineage: Bacteria; Pseudomonadati; Pseudomonadota; Gammaproteobacteria; Enterobacterales; Enterobacteriaceae. The record is from RNAcentral.
GGUUAAGCGACUAAGCGUACACGGUGGAUGCCCUGGCAGUCAGAGGCGAUGAAGGGCGUGCUAAUCUGCGAUAAGCGCCGGUAAGGUGAUAUGAACCGUUAUAACCGGCGAUACCCGAAUGGGGAAACCCAGUGUGAUUCGUCACACUAUCAUUAACUGAAUCCAUAGGUUAAUGAGGCGAACCGGGGGAACUGAAACAUCUAAGUACCCCGAGGAAAAGAAAUCAACCGAGAUUCCCCCAGUAGCGGCGAGCGAACGGGGAGGAGCCCAGAGCCUGAAUCAGCAUGUGUGUUAGUGGAAGCGUCUGGAAAGGCGCGCGAUACAGGGUGACAGCCCCGUACACAAAAGCGCAUAUGCUGUGAGCUCGAUGAGUAGGGCGGGACACGUGGUAUCCUGUCUGAAUAUGGGGGGACCAUCCUCCAAGGCUAAAUACUCCUGACUGACCGAUAGUGAACCAGUACCGUGAGGGAAAGGCGAAAAGAACCCCGGCGAGGGGAGUGAAAAAGAACCUGAAACCGUGUACGUACAAGCAGUGGGAGCCCCACCACUAAGCCAGUGGUGAACUCCACAUACGCAUCCUUUGCUGAGGAGACGGUUAACGGAGCGAAAGCGACGUUCAACCUCAAAAGAAGCAGAGGGGGCUUAGUGGUGGGGUGACUGCGUACCUUUUGUAUAAUGGGUCAGCGACUUAUAUUCUGUAGCAAGGUUAACUGUAUAGGGGAGCCGGAGGGAAACCGAGUCUUAACCGGGCGUUAAGUUGCAGGGUAUAGACCCGAAACCCGGUGAUCUAGCCAUGGGCAGGUUGAAGGUUGGGUAACACUAACUGGAGGACCGAACCGACUAAUGUUGAAAAAUUAGCGGAUGACCUGUGGCUGGGGGUGAAAGGCCAAUCAAACCGGGAGAUAGCUGGUUCUCCCCGAAAGCUAUUUAGGUAGCGCCUCGUGAAUUCAUCUCCGGGGGUAGAGCACUGUUUCGGCUAGGGGGCCAUCCCGGCUUACCAACCCGAUGCAAACUGCGAAUACCGGAGAAUGUUAUCACGGGAGACACACGGCGGGUGCUAAUGUCCGUCGUGAAGAGGGAAACAACCCAGACCG